Molecule: ribosomal RNA, 253 nt
Filed under: uncultured bacterium
Lineage: Bacteria
Description: partial 16S ribosomal RNA
Rfam family: Bacterial small subunit ribosomal RNA
Source: RNAcentral
UACGUAGGGUGCAAGCGUUAAUCGGAAUUACUGGGCGUAAAGCGUGCGCAGGCGGUUGAGUAAGUUAGAUGUGAAAUCCCCGGGCUCAACCUGGGAACUGCAUUUAAAACUGCUCGGCUAGAGUGUGUCAGAGGGGGGUAGAAUUCCACGUGUAGCAGUGAAAUGCGUAGAGAUGUGGAGGAAUACCAAUGGCGAAGGCAGCCCCCUGGGAUAACACUGACGCUCAUGUACGAAAGCGUGGGGAGCAAACAGG